Molecule: unclassified non-coding RNA, 801 nt
Filed under: Hevea brasiliensis (rubber tree)
Lineage: Eukaryota; Viridiplantae; Streptophyta; Magnoliopsida; Malpighiales; Euphorbiaceae
Source: RNAcentral
AGCAUACCCUUUUCUUUUCUCUCUCUAUUCAGUAUCCGAAGGUAAAUGUGUAGAAUCAGGGGGUAAUGGUUCAGUAGGUACUUGUAAAGCUUCAGUAGGUGAUUGUGAAGAAGCAGCUUCAGCAGUUUCAGAUUCCUCCUGCAUCAACUUCUGCAACCCAGGCUUCAAUUCCUUGUUACAGAACUCCUCAUACUCCCCUCUAUCCCCUCCUUUCUUCUUAACCUCCACCACCACUAAUUUUGGUGUCAACUCAAAUAUCUCAGCUGCAAUUGUUAAUGGACCUUUGACACCCUCCCUAGACCCUUCCAAACUUACUCUGCAAUCCUUUGUCCUCACUGUAAAACUCACAACUUUAGCAAUUUCCUCCAGUUUUGAUAUAAUCUUGGAUACAGGAGCACCAGAAACAAUUCUUGCUCCCUCUCCACCAUCUUCAAACAACCCAGAUAAAUUAAACCCAGGCGAAAAGGAUAUAAUGUCAAAAGCAUUCAAACUUGCAGGUCUAGGUAAUGAAGUAACCCUUCUUCGAUUUUCGUUUCCAUUUCAGAUUCUGAUUCGGACAGUGAUUGGUCGGAGGAGGAGCCCGCAUCAUCCUGUUCUCCCUCAACGUCAAAACUAAAAACUUUAUCAUCCUCAAUGUAAAAUUUGAUAUGCUUGAACCCCUUUUUGAACCACUUAUUCUCCAUUAUCUCGGGGAUCGUGAUUCGAGUUUCAGGGUUUGUGUCAAGAAGCCUCGAGAGGAGUCUAAUGAGCUCCUGAGAGAACCAUCUAGGACACCUAAACUCACCCUUAUAGAUCUUCUUG